AAAGAGAAGUAAUCAAGCAUGCUUCAAAUCAGGAGUCUAGUUCUUACUGCACAAGACUCCAAAUAGAGUCAACCUCAGGAAGAGGUUUAUGGCUAUGGAGUAGCCAAGCAGGUCCCAGACACAUGCUAGUAGUGUACAAGAGUGAGGAAAACAUACAUUGGGAUCGGAAAGGAGGUAGUGAACAUGCCCAGUCAUGCUAGACAUUCUAAUUAUCAUAAGUACAUACUAAUGGCAAGAACAAUAGAACCAUAAGUAGAAGCACACAAGAAACAAGAAGAAGUGCAACACUAAUAGAAACAUGUUGUUUUGGAGGCUGUAACUUAAAUAGAAAAUAUACCAUAACACAAAGCAGUAGUGAACAAUAGGACAUAGAGAAGUGAGCAGUAGUAUACAAAGAGGUGUGCAACAAGCAGACCAAAGCAAGUAACACAGUAGAAACCAAUAGUGAAGUAAGGUAGCCAAAAUUACUUAAUCUUGGCCUUCACCAGAUUGAGAAGCCAAUAUUCAAU
This 509-nucleotide long non-coding RNA is filed under the name Nicotiana benthamiana. Its description in RNAcentral is "long non-coding RNA (NBEN_LNC012447)". The record is from RNAcentral. Lineage: Eukaryota; Viridiplantae; Streptophyta; Magnoliopsida; Solanales; Solanaceae.